CGCAGCUUGCAGCCGUGCUAGAUCCUUAACCCACUGAGCAAGGCCGGGGGUCAGACCCGCAUCCUCAAGGAAACUAGUCAGGUUCUUAAGCUGAGUCACAACGGGAACUCCAAAAACCAGUUUUUAGAUGGUUGUUUUCCAAACAUUCCAAGCGCUUUAGGACAUUUGCUUUCAAACACCAGAGCAUAUCAGAAUCCCCAGGAGGGCUUGUUAAGAUUUAGAUUGCUGGUCCCACCUCCCCGCCAGAGUUCCUGAUUAAGCAGGUCGGGGGUGGGCCCUAAAAAUGUUCCGUUUUUAACGAGGUCCAGGUGAUGCUGAUGGUGCUGGUUUUCGGGCCGCACUUUGAGAACCAUGGGAAAUAGAAACUGCGUUAGAAAAGAAAGACUGGAGGGCCCAUCCUCAGUGCCCGCCAAGCUGUGUGUGUGCAGCUUCAUCCCAGUGCAGGUGAUGGAUGGGGAGCACGAGCCUAUGUGCUGGCUGGUAGGAGGGCACAAAAGGAGAAGACAGCACCCCAGAACCCCGAGGAAGCCUCGGGAUGGAAGGAGGCAGGGCCUGGGGCUAGGCAGCGGCAAGGUUGCCAGCAGCUGUGGAGUGGCGGAGAGGCGGGGGCUGGGGAGCCUUCACCCUUAUUUGAUCUCUGGCCCAGCUCCCAUCGCCCCCUGCAGCUCAGUGCUGACCUCUGCAAGACUGGAGCAAUAGCAGUGUUUGGACUGCUUGUAUUUGUUCAAAAAGCAGUCCUUUCAGAACAUCCGUGAUCCCCUUUUCAUCCCUCUAACAACAACAAAAUAUUUUGAAGCGGCAGGAAGAAAAUCAUUCCGGAUUUGAGAGCCUUCAGCAGGGUCAUGUGCUCCAAGGCAUAGCCUUCACCACUCCCUGUAAUCUUGUCACCGAUUUUUCUCCACUCCUUUCUUUACCAGCUUAGGUGUCCUGAUGUGACACCUAGAACCAAGGGUCCCAUUUUAUGACCCAAGACGGAAGCUGUCCCGGAAGCAAAACGGUCUCAAACAGCAGAGGGAAAGAUGGAAAGAACCUAGGACUUCAAUGAUUGUCUCGUGCUGCUGAAACAAACCAACUCUGGGAGAGUCCAGCUUCUGGACGUCUUCCAUGAAAUGCAGCUUCUACAGGUCAUAAAGGUGUAAAGAUGGGGCACGCUGGCAGGGAUGGAUCCCUGGCCGGAGAGUCCGAAGCCCCUUCCACCCCUGCAGCUCUUCUCCAAAGGGAACACUCUGUUCCUUUCCUUGGGUGAACCAGACUCAGGCCCCUGCUGGUUCUUGAGUCAGCGGGGAGGCUGACCCAGCAGCCGCCUCCUGGCCAGAAACCAUGCAAGCAAGAAGAGAAUGGAGUGAAUGUUACAAGUUUUCAGAGAAAAAGCUACCAACCCAGAAGUCUGUACUCUGCAAAAUUAUCCUUGAGAAGUAACAGAGAAAAAGACUUUCUCAGAGAAAAAAAAAAAAAAAUUGAGGAAAUUUGUUGCCAACAGAACUGCCUUGGAAGAAAAGCUAAAAGAAGUUACAUAAAGAGAAGGAAAUUACCAUGGGUUGGAAACUCAGCUCUGCAUGAAGAAAGGAAGAGCAUCAAAGAAGGAAAAGUCAAGUUCUUGAUGCUGAGAGGUCCCAGAUCAAGGUACCAGCAGAUUCUGUUCCUAGGAGAACUCUCCUCCUGACUUGCAGACAGGCAGCUUGCUGUGUGUUCAGACGUGGAAAGAGGUGAGCUCUGAUUUCUUCCUCUUCUUAAAAGGGCCCUAAUUCCAUCCCAGGAGCCCCAUCCACAUCACCUAAUCUAAUUAUCUACCAAAAACUUCUCCUCCAGCUACUGUCAUAUUAGUAGCUAGGGCUUCAAAAUAUGGGUUUGGGGAGGACACAUUCAAUCCAUAGAAAACACCACUGGGUUCUUUUUGCCAGGUAUUUUCUAUCAAGUGGAGAAAUGGUUGAAAGUUGUCAGUAUGCAUACAACUGGUUUGGGUGCAGAGCCCAAAUGAAUGGUAGCACAGAGAGGUUUGUUUUCUAACCAGCCUCUUAAAUGAGCAUCAGCUAAAAGGGAAAGGAAAUUGAGGUCCCUCGACAUUAGACCAUGCUUUUGCUGAGGGCAGUGCAGGGUCCUUUAAGGCCACAUUUGGAGACAGCACUAGACCUUUCUUUCCAUCCCUCAUCUGCUCCUCUGGACUCCAAAGCACUGCCUUGCUCCAAAAAGGAAAAUUAAAAACACAAAUUCUCAAGUGGUUUGAUAGUAAUUCAGCCCAGCAAAUUUUACUUUCCAUUAAAAGUCACCAGCUGUCAUGUGCUUCACUUUAAGUGGAAAUAACUUGCUCUCAAAGAACAUUUAUCAAUUGAUGUCACUUAUUAGUCUUAUUUUCUCCUAAUGAAAAAUGGAUUUGCAUUAGUGCGACUUUGGUGACAGGAAACCCCUGGAUGGAGGCUCAACUUGAUGAUCCGCCCCCACCCUGGGGAAAGCUAAUGGCUCUACCAGCCAGCUCAGCGGAUUGACACUGCGGUCAGGGGAAGGGACUCUGGGGGAACAGAGCAGAGCAUUGGCGAUAAUGUUCGAUCCUCUUGCGAGGGAAUGAGCUCACAGUGCCUCUUCCCUUAAAAAACAAAUGAGAAAACUGCGAUUAAAAAUGCUGUAGAGCAGUUCUCUUGUGUUUGCAGCAGGUUGAGGAUCUGGCGUUGUCACUGUGGUGGCUCAGGUCACAGCUGGGGGUGGGUUUGUUCCCUGGCCUGGGAACCUCCACAUGCCGUGGGCACAACAACAACAACAACAAAAUCCUAUAUAGCACAGGGAACGCUAUUCAAUAUCCCAUGAUAACCUGUAUGGGAAAAGGAUCUGAAAAAAAAAAAAAAGACUUUCCAGUGUUGAGUUUUGGCGAGAAGAUUAAAUAUUUUAACGUUAUUAGCAGUUUGAGGGAGGCAGCCCUCCUCAUACGCAUGUGCUCAGAGCCUGUCACAACUGAGACCAGAUCCAGCCAGGGCUCUUCUCAGAAGUGUUACUGGGGACCUGCCCCUAUGUCCAAGUGCCUCGAAUCUCUUGUCUGUGGCCAGUGGAAUAAUCUCUUCAAGAACAAAACAAAGCAAAAACAACCUCUGGACUGAAGCUCCCUGAAGCCUGAACCAUGUCAUGUGCAGCUGUGACUCCGUGGCACCUGACCAAAGAGCUUGUACCCUCGGGAGCUGCCUGCAAGGGAACAGCUCUGCAGACAGAAGGCAGGAGGGUGAAGCCUAGGACCACCCAGCUUUACCUACUGGGCAGCCACGGGCUCUUCUAGGGUCACUCCAGCAAGGUCCCAACCCACUGAAAAUGACCUGCAGGGACGAGAGACAUGGGGAGCUAAUUAAACCAAUGACACAAGGAAACAGGAAAUGAACAACUCCAGCCCUGAGCAGCCUCCCAGUCCUGAGCGCUGGAGGCACCCUUGACCUGUGUCCUCAGAAGGGCUGGAUGGGCUCUCUUGCCUCACCAGCCCCCAACGUGCACAGGACGAGCAUCACACACACCACUGAUGGGAGAGCUCCCGGGGCAAAUGGCUUAGUCCAAACCUGGGGCCAUCACCAGCGCCCUUCCAGCUGAGGCAAAGUUCCCCCAAGACCCCUGUCUCCACGCUCACAGUGAGGGCUCAGAAGUGCCCAAGAGUUUCUGGAUAAUGUCCUCGAUGACAGACACCCAAGCACUGUCCUCCAAGCACAGCGCUGGGGCGGUCGCCAGGGAAGAUGCCCCUGGCAGCUCCCAUCCACGCAGCUGGGGCAGCUCCAGGAACACUAAAUUCUGGCCCCGCUUGCAGCCAAGCCUGGUUACUUUAGAUUCCCUCUCCUCCCCGCUUGGCUUUUCAAGCAGGAGCCAGCCAAGGUAUUCGUCAUAUUUCCUAGCUACCCUGCUGCUUGAUUUAUGCUCCAGUGGGGCAGGGGCAAAGACUCCAGGGGGAGGGGCAGGUGAAGGCAGG
Molecule: non-coding RNA, 3931 nt
Organism: Sus scrofa (pig)
Lineage: Eukaryota; Metazoa; Chordata; Mammalia; Artiodactyla; Suidae
Source: RefSeq, a predicted model, not a curated record